RNAcentral lists this transfer RNA (78 nucleotides) under Sulfurihydrogenibium azorense Az-Fu1. RNAcentral describes it as "tRNA-Ala". It matches the Rfam family "tRNA". From Rfam's summary of the family: Transfer RNA (tRNA) molecules are approximately 80 nucleotides in length. Their secondary structure includes four short double-helical elements and three loops (D, anti-codon, and T loops). Further hydrogen bonds mediate the characteristic L-shaped molecular structure. tRNAs have two regions of fundamental functional importance: the anti-codon, which is responsible for specific mRNA codon recognition, and the 3' end, to which the tRNAs corresponding amino acid is attached (by aminoacyl-tRNA synthetases). tRNAs cope with the degeneracy of the genetic code in two manners: having more than one tRNA (with a specific anti-codon) for a particular amino acid; and 'wobble' base-pairing, i.e. permitting non-standard base-pairing at the 3rd anti-codon position. Lineage: Bacteria; Pseudomonadati; Aquificota; Aquificia; Aquificales; Hydrogenothermaceae. The record is from RNAcentral.
UGGGGACGUAGCUCAGUUGGGAGAGCGCUUGCAUGGCAUGCAAGAGGUCGGGGGUUCAAGUCCCCUCGUCUCCAUUAU